CCUACGGGUGGCAGCAGUGGGGAAUAUUGGACAAUGGGCGAAAGCCUGAUCCAGCAAUACCGCGUGUGUGAAGAAGGCCUUCGGGUUGUAAAGCACUUUAAGUUGGGAAGAAAAAGCUUCACCUAAUACGUGAAGCCUUGACGGUACCGACAGAAUAAGCACCGGCUAACUCUGUGCCAGCAGCCGCGGUAAUACAGAGGGUGCUAGCGUUAAUCGGAUUUACUGGGCGUAAAGCGUGCGUAGGCGGUUUGAUAAGUCGAUUGUGAAAGCCCCGGGCUUAACCUGGGAAUUGCGGUCGAUACUGUCAGACUCGAAAACGGUAGAGGGAGGCGGAACUCCAGGUGUAGCGGUGAAAUGCGUAGAUAUCUGGAAGAACACCGAUGGCGAAGGCAACCUCCUGGGCCUGUUUUGACGCUGAGGCACGAAAGCGUGGGUAGCAAACAGGAUUAGAUACCCCUGUAGUC
RNAcentral lists this ribosomal RNA (464 nucleotides) under uncultured bacterium. RNAcentral's name for it is "bacterial SSU rRNA". It matches the Rfam family "Bacterial small subunit ribosomal RNA", at positions 338 to 795 of the family's 1533-position model. The record is from RNAcentral.